Streptomyces natalensis ATCC 27448 is the source of this 69-nucleotide non-coding RNA. NCBI's taxonomy places the organism in Bacteria, Bacillati, Actinomycetota, Actinomycetes, Kitasatosporales, Streptomycetaceae. The record is from Rfam.
CGGUCCGCGUCGAGAGGCUUGGGCUGACCGGGCAGAAGUCACCAGAGGCCGUAGUACAGCCGGGAUGGC